GGGUGCGGGGACCCGCAACUUUCGGAGUACCGUACCACCAACCACCAGCACUAACGACCCCUUUCGGCGGUCCAGCGCGCGUCCAGCCUUGUAAGCCACCCUCAAAAGAAAGGAAACAAUUUUCUGUUGCAUAACAAAUAUGACACUGCCGUCACUGCAGGUGGCGGCACUGUCCAACCUUCGCAUCAGGUCAGCCGCAGCCGCCUACCAGGAAACGACACUUCAAAGUGUAUGGAACGGUACGACAGUACAGCCAUGUCGUGUCUGCUGCAGCAGAACUGUAUGACAAAGUAUGGUGGUACAGCAAUGUUGCGCUACGAUUCCAGGCUCUCAUGCGCUUCUGCUGAAACUCCCCCUGAACUGGACAACCCUGAAUGACCAGCACUUUGCAUCUGGCGCUCUUUUGGGGUCAUCUACGUAGAGGAAACGACAGGAAGCGGAACAGAGGGGACGGGGCAUGGAAUUUAUUCGUAGCUUGCCUAAUGCACCCUGCACACAAACUUUGACUGAAUACCCAUAUCCUAAUUUCAUUUAAUAAAGCCUUUAUUAAAAUAUUAUCGCAAAAAGCACCGAAGGCUGUUGGUUGAAAUCCUUGCUGGCCGAGCACGCUCGAGCAUGAAACCGCACGCGAACAGCUCUUUAGCGUCUGGGCCGUACCGGAUAGCUACCGGGCUGACUGGGCGGAGGGGGAGGAACCUUUGCAGCAUGGAGACAUGGUGCCCGCAAUUUAUUACAACGCGGGCGACGCGUGCGUUGCUGUUGGAAAGAGCGUUCUGUGAGACGCGCAGGCAUCUUGCUCAUGACCAUAGCAGCCCACCCUGCCGAGUCCCGACCUACCUAUCGGGGACCUGUAGCGACAGUACACGGGGACACGCGGCUUACGGAGCUGCUGGACAAUGCCUCUCUACAUCUCAAACCGACGUGGAUGGGGCAUGCUGCUGUCCCGGAGGAAGUUAUCCACUCUGUACGGCAUUGUUACGGCAUUAUGACUUAGUAGACACCUGUACGGCAUUUCACUAUGUCGGGCAAGUACCGAUGCCGUAAGGGCCCUUCCUUCAUAUUGCGUAUAAAUACAUGCCUUGCAGUAUCGGCGAUUUCUUAUCGUGAAGGUGCAUGUGACGAAUGUUAGUUGUGCUGCAAGAUUGGGCUCAACAUAGUAACUGCAACUAACCUUCGCUUGCGAAGCUGUCCGGAACGCAUAAACCUCUAUCGCACGACUAUAAAUAAUUUGAAUUUAACCACCUAUUAUCGCUUCUACGACUAGGU
Molecule: long non-coding RNA, 1266 nt
Filed under: Volvox carteri
Lineage: Eukaryota; Viridiplantae; Chlorophyta; Chlorophyceae; Chlamydomonadales; Volvocaceae
Description: long non-coding RNA (VCAR_LNC002904)
Source: RNAcentral